This 476-nucleotide ribosomal RNA is filed under the name uncultured bacterium. Its description in RNAcentral is "bacterial SSU rRNA". It matches the Rfam family "Bacterial small subunit ribosomal RNA", at positions 36 to 518 of the family's 1533-position model. The record is from RNAcentral.
CUGGCGGCGUGCCUAACACAUGCAAGUCGAGCGGGGACAUGGAAGUAGCAAUACGGAAAUGUUCUAGCGGCGGACGGGUGAGUAACGCGUGAGCAACCUGUCCCAGUCAGGGGGAUAACGAGCCGAAAGGCUCCCUAAUACCGCAUGAGACCACAGCAUCACAUGGUGCAGGGGUCAAAGGAGAGAUCCGGACUGGGGUGGGCUCGCGUCUGAUUAGCUAGUUGGUGAGGUAAAGGCCCACCAAGGCGACGAUCAGUAGCCGACCUGAGAGGGUGAUCGGCCACAUUGGAACUGAGACACGGUCCAAACUCCUACGGGAGGCAGCAGUGGGGAAUAUUGGGCAAUGGGGGGAAACCCUGACCCAGCAACGCCGCGUGAGGGAAGAAGGUUUUCGGAUCGUAAACCUCUGUCCUUGGUGAAGAGGAAGAGACGGUAGCCAAGGAGGAAGCCCCGGCUAACUACGUGCCAGCCGCCGC